GGCUUUUUGAAGAACAUGGGGGUCGUGCCUUCCCAGUGGGCAUACGAGCCUAAACGGACGCGGUAAAUCGUGCUAAGGUAGCUAAAUUAUGGCCUAUUAAUUGUAGGUCCUGUGAAUGGUUUGACGAGUCCUCGACUGUCUCGAGGUUGUUUUGGUGAACUUGAAUUGAAUGUGCAAAUGCUUUCAUGGGAAAGAAAGACGAGAAGACCCCGUGAAGUUAGAAAUUCCUAUUACAGCGUUAAUCCUCUUUGAUGUUUGUAGAUCAGGCGUUUUAGAACUUUAAUUUUCCAAUACGGCUAGAGUUAGGGGUAUUGGAUGUUUAUAGUUUUUAAGUAGGGGAGUGUGGUUUUGAUGAGUUUUGGCUGGGGCAGCAAAGAGGCAAAACUAGACCUCUUUAGACACACAACGGGUGCGUUACGACCCACAAAAAUGAAUUGUGUGAUUAGCAGAAUGAGUUACUCCGGGGAUAACAGCGUAAUCUUCCUUGAUAGUUCUUAUAGAUGGGCGGGUUGCGACCUCGAUGUUUGGCUCUGGGUA
This 537-nucleotide ribosomal RNA is filed under the name Chlamys nipponensis (Japanese scallop). RNAcentral describes it as "partial 16S ribosomal RNA". It matches the Rfam family "Bacterial large subunit ribosomal RNA", at positions 1832 to 2544 of the family's 2925-position model. The record is from RNAcentral. Lineage: Eukaryota; Metazoa; Mollusca; Bivalvia; Pectinida; Pectinidae.